Mesocricetus auratus (golden hamster) is the source of this 164-nucleotide non-coding RNA. The record is from Rfam. NCBI's taxonomy places the organism in Eukaryota, Metazoa, Chordata, Mammalia, Rodentia, Cricetidae.
AUACUUACCUGUCAGGGAAGACACCACAAUCAGGAAGGUGGCUUUCCCAGAAUAAGGCUCAUCCUUUCCAUUUGUCAUGUGCUGACUCCUGCCAUUUCCUCAAAUGUGGAAAAGUUGGCAGUAUGAUUUGUGGCAGUGGGAAACUGUGUUCCCACUCUGCCCUG